RNAcentral lists this ribosomal RNA (1055 nucleotides) under uncultured organism. Its description in RNAcentral is "bacterial SSU rRNA". It matches the Rfam family "Bacterial small subunit ribosomal RNA", at positions 67 to 1088 of the family's 1533-position model. The record is from RNAcentral.
CGCGAACGUUCCCUUCGGGGAACAAGUAGAGUGGCGAAAGGGCGAGGAAUACAUGGGUAACGUGCCUCGAGCACGAGGACAGCCGGGGGAAACUCCGUGUUAAUACUCGAUAAGACCACAGCACCGCAGGGUGCAGGGGUCAAAGGGUGGGGACCUUCGGGCCUGCCGGCUCGAGAGCGGCCCAUGUCCUAUCAGCUUGUUGGUGGGGUAACGGACUACCAAUGCUACGACGGGUACCGGGACUGAGAGGUUGACCCGGCGCAUCGGGACUGAGACACUGCCCGGACUCCUACGGGAGGCUGCAGUAACGAAUAUUGGGCAAUGGGCGAAAGCCUGACCCAGCGACGCCGCGUGUGGGAAGAAUGCCUUCGGGUUGUAAACCACUGCCAGGGAUUACCAACCAACCGGUGUGAAUAGCGCCGGGAGUUGAGGAGUCCCAGAGGAAGUCACGGCUAACUUCGUGCCAGCAGCCGCGGUAAUACGAAGGUGGCUAGCGUUGUUCGGAAUCACUGGGCUUAAAGAGCACGUAGGCGGAUGAUCAAGCGUCUUGUGAAAGCCCUCGGCUCUACCGGGGAAUUGCUUGGCGAACUGAUCAUCUUGAGGCAGGUAGGGGCGAGUGGAACUCUUGGUGGAGCGGUGGAAUGCUUAGAUAUCAAGAGGAACGCCAGAGGCGAAGGCGACUCGCUGGGCCUGACCUGACGCUGAGGUGCGAAAGCCAGGGGAGCGAACGGGAUUAGAUACCCCGGUAGUCCUGGCCCUAAACGAUGUCCACUAGGUCGGUAAGGUUCUAAUGCUUUGCUGGCCGAGACAUAAGCGUUAAGUGGACCGCCUGGGGAGUACGGUCGCAAGGCUAAAACUCAGACGAAUUGACGGNGGCUCACACAAGCGGUGGAGCAUGUUGCGUUAUUCGAUGCAACGGCGAAGGACCUUAUCCUGGGCUUGACAUACACGGAAUGCCCUCGUGGAAACAGGUCGGGUGCCCUUCGGGGUGAAACGUACACAGGUGCUGCAUGACUGUCGUCAGCAUCGUGUCGUGAGAUGUUGGGUUAAGUCCC